RNAcentral lists this transfer RNA (74 nucleotides) under Wolbachia pipientis. RNAcentral describes it as "tRNA-Arg". It matches the Rfam family "tRNA". From Rfam's summary of the family: Transfer RNA (tRNA) molecules are approximately 80 nucleotides in length. RNAcentral also lists the same sequence under 1 other name. The record is from RNAcentral. Lineage: Bacteria; Pseudomonadati; Pseudomonadota; Alphaproteobacteria; Rickettsiales; Anaplasmataceae.
GUGCCCGUAGCUCAGCUGGAUAGAGCAUCAGCCUUCUAAGCUGAGGGCCGUAGGUUCGAAUCCUACCGGGCACA